Molecule: long non-coding RNA, 506 nt
Organism: Coffea eugenioides
Lineage: Eukaryota; Viridiplantae; Streptophyta; Magnoliopsida; Gentianales; Rubiaceae
Exons: 2
Source: RefSeq, a predicted model, not a curated record
AUAUAUCUCAGCAACACUGCAUCUUAGUUUUGUUUCUUAAUUGUGGGAUGGAUGGAAGGGGGGGGGGGGAGCAGAUGAAAGAUUGAUGCUGUAGUCUAUAGACACAAUGGGCAUCCAUGGAUGACAGGGGAAGGAGGUGGUGAAAUCAGACCCGUGGCUGUUGAAGAAGCUAGACCAGUGGCUGUUAUAAGUUGAAGCUUCUAUAUCCCCUGACCUAUGUAUAAUCUCAAACUGUACAGGCACCUCGUUGUCUAAAUUCCUAUCUACCUAUCUACUUAUUAUUAGGGCUGCUUUCUUCUAUAAAUUUUGCAGAAAGCAUAGGCUUAAUAUUUUGGAGCUCAAGUUAAAGAGCGGAAGCCUAGAUGAGACUUAAUAAAUCUUGAUCUUUGCAGUGUCAAUGUUAAAUGAUGAUCAGAGCUCGUAAAGGGUUAUCUGAAUUUGUUCACAAAAGUUCAUCAAUAAGUUAUAUCUACUUGUGUUGUUUUCAUCCUCUACUUGGGAUUUUA